GACGAACGCUGGCGGCGUGCUUAACACAUGCAAGUCGAACGGAAAGGCCCUGCUUGCAGGGUACUCGAGUGGCGAACGGGUGAGUAACACGUGGGUGAUCUGCCCUGCACUUCGGGAUAAGCCUGGGAAACUGGGUCUAAUACCGGAUAGGAGCCAUUUUUAGUGUGAUGGUUGGAAAGUUUUUUCGGUGUAGGAUGAGCUCGCGGCCUAUCAGCUUGUUGGUGGGGUAAUGGCCUACCAAGGCGGCGACGGGUAGCCGGCCUGAGAGGGUGGACGGCCACAUUGGGACUGAGAUACGGCCCAGACUCCUACGGGAGGCAGCAGUGGGGAAUAUUGCACAAUGGGCGCAAGCCUGAUGCAGCGACGCCGCGUGGGGGAUGACGGCCUUCGGGUUGUAAACUCCUUUCGCUAGGGACGAAGCUUUUUGUGACGGUACCUAGAUAAGAAGCACCAGCUAACUACGUG
This 465-nucleotide ribosomal RNA is filed under the name uncultured bacterium. Its description in RNAcentral is "partial 16S ribosomal RNA". It matches the Rfam family "Bacterial small subunit ribosomal RNA", at positions 28 to 507 of the family's 1533-position model. The record is from RNAcentral.